AUUGAACGCUGGCGGCAUGCCUUACACAUGCAAGUCGAACGGUAACAGGUCUUCGGAUGCUGACGGGUGGCGAACGGGUGAGUAAUACAUCGGAACGUGCCUAGUAGUGGGGGAUAACUACUCGAAAGAGUGGCUAAUACCGCAUGAGAUCUACGGAUGAAAGCAGGGGAUCGCAAGACCUUGUGCUACUAGAGCGGCCGAUGGCAGAUUAGGUAGUUGGUGGGAUAAAAGCUUACCAAGCCGACGAUCUGUAGCUGGUCUGAGAGGACGAUCAGCCACACUGGGACUGAGACACGGCCCAGACUCCUACGGGAGGCAGCAGUGGGGAAUUUUGGACAAUGGGCGAAAGCCUGAUCCAGCAAUGCCGCGUGCAGGAUGAAGGCCUUCGGGUUGUAAACUGCUUUUGUACGGAACGAAAAGCCCCAGGUUAAUACCCUGGGGUCAUGACGGUACCGUAAGAAUAAGCACCGGCUAACUACGUGCCAGCCGCCGCGGUAA
This 498-nucleotide ribosomal RNA is filed under the name uncultured bacterium. Its description in RNAcentral is "partial 16S ribosomal RNA". It matches the Rfam family "Bacterial small subunit ribosomal RNA", at positions 30 to 523 of the family's 1533-position model. The record is from RNAcentral.